GACGAACGCUGGCGGCGUGCUUAAUACAUGCAAGUCGAGCGGACGGACGCGACGCUUGCUUGGCUGUUGUGUGGGGAGGGCGGGAGUGUAACGCGAGGAAACUGCCCCUAAAAUACGGGGAUCACCUCGGGAAUCGGGCGCUAACAGCGGAUAAUCUUCUGAUCCGUGUGGUGCAAAAGUAAAAGACGGUGUUGUCGGCGGUUGUGGAUGGAUAUGAGGUUUAUUAGCUAGUUGGUGGGGUAAUGGCUUACCAAGGCUACGACGGGUGGCCGGCCUGAGAGGGUGAACGGCCACAUUGGGCCUGAGAUACGGACCAGACUGCUACGGGCGGCAGCAGUGGGGAAUAUUGCACAAUGGGGGGAAGCCUGAUGCAGCAACGCCGCGUGCGGGAUGCCGGGUUUCGGGUUGUAAACCGCUUUCGCCUGUGACGAAGAGUGAGUGACGGUAAUGAGUAAAGAAGCACCGGCUAACUACGUG
This 477-nucleotide ribosomal RNA is filed under the name uncultured bacterium. RNAcentral's name for it is "partial 16S ribosomal RNA". It matches the Rfam family "Bacterial small subunit ribosomal RNA", at positions 28 to 507 of the family's 1533-position model. The record is from RNAcentral.